RNAcentral lists this unclassified non-coding RNA (342 nucleotides) under soil metagenome. RNAcentral describes it as "partial contains 5.8S ribosomal RNA, internal transcribed spacer 2, and large subunit ribosomal RNA". The stretch from base 1 to 120 matches the Rfam family "5.8S ribosomal RNA", at positions 35 to 154 of the family's 154-position model. The record is from RNAcentral.
GAUGAAGAACGCAGCGAAAUGCGAUAAGUAGUGUGAAUUGCAGAAUUCAGUGAAUCAUCGAAUCUUUGAACGCACAUUGCGGCCAUAGGUAUUCCUUUGGCCAUGCCUGUUCGAGCGUCAUUUACACCCUCAAGCCUAGCUUGGUGUUGGGCGUCUGUCCCGCCGUUUUCGCGCGCGGACUCGCCUCAAAGUCAUUGGCGGCGGUCGUGCCGGCCCCCUCGCGCAGCACAUUUGUGCUUCUCGGAGGCCCGGCGGAUCCGCGCUCCAGCAAGACCUUUCACGACUUGACCUCGGAUCAGGUAGGGAUACCCGCUGAACUUAAGCAUAUCAAUAAGCGGAGGA